AACGUUUCCGAUUUUGGUUCUGUUGUUAGGGAUUUUACUUGUGACGUUAUUUAAGUUAUGACGUCAUGUUCAAUGUAAACAAAAUAACACAAUGCAUCAGGUAAUGUUUAUUCAUAUCAAAGACAAAGAAUGAUUAAAAAUGAAAUAUUGGUAUUGUGUUCCUAUAUUUUACUAGACUAAUCAAAGUCUCACGACAACAAGACCGGAAAAAGGAAGUAGAUUUCUGCGUUCUGCGCAGAUCCGGAAAUUAAAAAACACGACAAAAAAAAAUUGAACGAUUUUGAGUUCAUUAGUAC
RNAcentral lists this long non-coding RNA (296 nucleotides) under Mytilus galloprovincialis (Mediterranean mussel). The record is from RNAcentral. Lineage: Eukaryota; Metazoa; Mollusca; Bivalvia; Mytilida; Mytilidae.